This 253-nucleotide ribosomal RNA is filed under the name uncultured bacterium. Its description in RNAcentral is "partial 16S ribosomal RNA". It matches the Rfam family "Bacterial small subunit ribosomal RNA", at positions 524 to 776 of the family's 1533-position model. The record is from RNAcentral.
UACGAGGGGUGCUAGCGUUGUUCGGAAUCAUUGGGCGUAAAGAGUAUGUAGGCGGCCUUAUAAGUCAGUUGUGAAAUCCCCGGGCUCAACCCGGGAAGUGCAAUUGAUACUGUUAGGCUUGAGUAUGGAAGAGGGUAGUGGAAUUCCAGGUGUAGUGGUGAAAUACGUAGAUAUCUGGAGGAAUACCGGUGGCGAAGGCGGCUACCUGGUCCUAUACUGACGCUGAGAUACGAAAGCAUGGGUAGCAAACAGG